UCUUUAUAGCUUACAUGUUGC
RNAcentral lists this non-coding RNA (21 nucleotides) under Caenorhabditis elegans. Lineage: Eukaryota; Metazoa; Nematoda; Chromadorea; Rhabditida; Rhabditidae. The record is from RNAcentral.